UAGGGAAUCUUCCGCAAUGGGCGAAAGCCUGACGGAGCAACGCCGCGUGAGUGAUGAAGGUCUUCGGAUCGUAAAACUCUGUUAUUAGGGAAGAACAAAUGUGUAAGUAACUAUGCACGUCUUGACGGUACCUAAUCAGAAAGCCACGGCUAACUACGUGCCAGCAGCCGCGGUAAUACGUAGGUGGCAAGCGUUAUCCGGAAUUAUUGGGCGUAAAGCGCGCGUAGGCGGUUUUUUAAGUCUGAUGUGAAAGCCCACGGCUCAACCGUGGGGGGUCAUUGGAAACUGGAAAACUAGAGUGCAGAAGAGGAGAGUGGAAUUCAAUGUGUAGCGGUGAAAUGCGCAGAAAUAUGGAGGAACACCAGUGGCGAAGGCGACUUUCUGGUCUGUAACUGACGAUGAUGUGCGAAAGCGUGGGGAUCAAACAGG
This 429-nucleotide ribosomal RNA is filed under the name Actinomycetes bacterium. RNAcentral describes it as "Actinobacteria bacterium partial 16S ribosomal RNA". It matches the Rfam family "Bacterial small subunit ribosomal RNA", at positions 355 to 776 of the family's 1533-position model. The record is from RNAcentral. Lineage: Bacteria; Bacillati; Actinomycetota; Actinomycetes.